UCUCAGUCGGCGGGAAGCCUUGGUGGAGAGAGGGAGUGUGAUCUUGUUCCUGUUGUGUUGUGUUGGUUUCCUUUGUGUAUUCAGGUACGUGAAUGUUUGAUUAUUGUACUGUGUAAUUUCUUUAGUUAUAACUACCAGUUUCUUGUUUUAUGUAUGUAUAUGUACUGUUUUAUCAUUUCAUGUUUUAUAAUUUAUGGCUGACGGUCGAGAUGCGCAUAAGAUAAAUUAGAGAAUGUUUAAAUAUAUUUAAUUUUAUCUGAUAUGUCAGUAUAUGUUUGUAAGCGCUCGCCUCAGUCGGCGGGGAGCCUUGGUGGAGAGAGGGAGUGUGAUCGCGUCCUGUUGUGUUGUGUUGGUUUCCUUUGUGUAUUCAGUCGGCGGGAAGCCUUGGUGGAGAGAGUCGGCGGGAAGCCCUGGUGAUUAGGAGAAUAAACAACGUCCGUCAGUCAACCGGCA
Paramormyrops kingsleyae is the source of this 453-nucleotide non-coding RNA. Lineage: Eukaryota; Metazoa; Chordata; Actinopteri; Osteoglossiformes; Mormyridae. The record is from RefSeq and is a predicted model, not a curated record.